Molecule: ribosomal RNA, 387 nt
Filed under: uncultured bacterium
Lineage: Bacteria
Description: bacterial SSU rRNA
Rfam family: Bacterial small subunit ribosomal RNA
Source: RNAcentral
AUUGAACGCUGGCGGCAUGCCUUACACAUGCAAGUCGAACGGCAGCACGGACUUCGGUCUGGUGGCGAGUGGCGAACGGGUGAGUAAUGUAUCGGAACGUAUCUUUCAGUGGGGGAUAACGUAGCGAAAGUUACGCUAAUACCGCAUAUUCUGUGAGCAGGAAAGCAGGGGAUCGCAAGACCUUGCGCUGAUUGAGCGGCCGAUAUCAGAUUAGCUAGUUGGUGAGGUAAAGGCUCACCAAGGCGACGAUCUGUAGCGGGUCUGAGAGGAUGAUCCGCCACACUGGAACUGAGACACGGUCCAGACUCCUACGGGAGGCAGCAGUGGGGAAUUUUGGACAAUGGGGGCAACCCUGAUCCAGCCAUGCCGCGUGAGUGAAGAAGGCCU